RNAcentral lists this ribosomal RNA (117 nucleotides) under Oscillatoriales cyanobacterium RM2_1_1. The record is from RNAcentral. RNAcentral also lists the same sequence under 1 other name. Lineage: Bacteria; Bacillati; Cyanobacteriota; Cyanophyceae; Oscillatoriales.
UCUGGUGUCAAUGGCUUAGUGGAACCACACCGAUCCAUCCCGAACUCGGAGGUGAAACGCUAACACGGCAAAGAUACUUGGUGGGUAGCUGCCUGGGAAAAUAGCACGAUGCCAGGA